AAAGGAAUAGACGGGGGCCCGCACAAGCAGUGGAUUAUGUGGUUUAAUUCGAAGCAACGCGAAGAACCUUACCAGGGUUUGACAUCCAACUAACGAAGCAGAGAUGCAUUAGGUGCCCUUCGGGGAAAGUUGAGACAGGUGGUGCAUGGUUGUCGUCAGCUCGUGUCGUGAGAUGUUGGGUUAAGUCCCGCAACGAGCGCAACCCUUAUUGUUAGUUGCUACGCGAGAGCACUCUAGCGAGACUGCCGUUGACAAAACGGAGGAAGGUGGGGACGACGUCAAAUCAUCAUGCCCCUUAUAUCCUGGGCUACACACGUAAUACAAUGGCGCAUAACAAAGGGAAGCGAAGGAGCGAUCUGGAGCGAAUCCCCAAAAGGCGUCCCAGUUCGGAUUGCAGGCUGCAACUCGCCUGCAUGAAGUCGGAAUUGCUAGUAAUCGCGGAUCAGCACGCCGCGGUGAAUACGUUCCCGGGCCUUGUACACACCGCCCGU
This 491-nucleotide ribosomal RNA is filed under the name uncultured bacterium. RNAcentral's name for it is "bacterial SSU rRNA". It matches the Rfam family "Bacterial small subunit ribosomal RNA", at positions 903 to 1397 of the family's 1533-position model. The record is from RNAcentral.